Molecule: long non-coding RNA, 261 nt
Organism: Mauremys reevesii (Reeves's turtle)
Lineage: Eukaryota; Metazoa; Chordata; Testudines; Geoemydidae
Exons: 2
Source: RefSeq, a predicted model, not a curated record
GAGGUAUAAUUGAUAUAUGUUAAAUGUUCAGAAGACUUGUCUGUCCUGAAGAUCAACCCUGAUUGCAGCAGUUGGCAGCCAGCAAACAGUGUAGUUGCUGCAGAGGUAUAAAUUCCUAACUUGAAACCAAGAAAAAACAGCAAGCGAGGACUCUGGCAAAGGAAAUUUACUUUGGGGAAAUUUUGAGACAGGAUAUUCAUAGAAGAGAAUGCAUCAUCAACCUCAGAGAAACAAACAGAAGAUGACGGCCCCCCCCCCCCA